UGGCCUGACAUAAUAAGACCAGCAACCCUCUGUGCUAUAAAUUCAAACUAGUCAUCCUCCAGUCUGAAAGAAGAAUGAAAAUGAUGAUGCUCAGACUGGGGCUCAGAAGAAAUAGUUGAUGUGCCACCAACAGACUUGGAAGGACCAGCCUCAUGAUCUGAUACAAAUUGGAUAUCUGGUGAAGCUCUGCACUCACGAGGUGGAGAAGAAGGUCUCUCCCCCUC
RNAcentral lists this long non-coding RNA (224 nucleotides) under Elaeis guineensis (African oil palm). RNAcentral's name for it is "long non-coding RNA (EGUI_LNC014282)". Lineage: Eukaryota; Viridiplantae; Streptophyta; Magnoliopsida; Arecales; Arecaceae. The record is from RNAcentral.